AUUAUGGAUUUGAUGUUGGGCAGGUAGGACUUGCGUAGCAAGUUCUACUUGUCGUUCACAACAACAAUUGUUCGAUGUAGCAAUGCAUCGUUACACACUUGCUUGCUUUUGUUUGACAGAUUAGUUAUCAUAUAAUAUCA
This 140-nucleotide unclassified non-coding RNA is filed under the name uncultured fungus. Its description in RNAcentral is "sequence contains ITS1, 5.8S rRNA gene". Lineage: Eukaryota; Fungi. The record is from RNAcentral.